AUCCAUCUGACGGGUCCGGAAUUCGACGAAACGCGUGUCCUGGAU
Molecule: non-coding RNA, 45 nt
Organism: Schistosoma curassoni
Lineage: Eukaryota; Metazoa; Platyhelminthes; Trematoda; Strigeidida; Schistosomatidae
Source: Rfam